Molecule: long non-coding RNA, 1967 nt
Organism: Drosophila simulans
Lineage: Eukaryota; Metazoa; Arthropoda; Insecta; Diptera; Drosophilidae
Exons: 2
Source: RefSeq, a predicted model, not a curated record
UAUGCAUAUAUAUAUAAGUAUAUAAAAGGAAAUCCCGAGUGCCAUCAGCCUUUUCCUCAAUUACUGUGUGUGUGUGUGUAUGUGCGUAUAUCCGUAAUCAUGGUUUUUAUGAAACCAUUUCUGCAGAAAUUUAUAUUUAUGUACAGUACACAUACUUUUUUGGUGGCUUAAAUUGCGUUAUGAAAUGUAAUGGCGGGUCAUUAGGGUUUGUCCAUUAGGUGGGUUUCGGAUGGUUCACCACCCAGUUCGUGUUCCUCCAACUCCUGGGCGGAAAUUGCAGCGACGUUGGCCGGAUAUGCCCGCGAUUAAACCGAAUGGCCAAUGGUCCAAAAUGGCGAAGCUUCUCUCGCUUCCUCCGCCCUUUUCCAUUGGUAGGAGAUACGAAUCGGAUUUGGAGUGCUCCUAACGAUUUGAAAUUCGUAUUUGGAUUUAAUGCGUGUGUGCGACGCUUCUCGCUGCUUCUGAAUACUUACAAUUUUAUUUAUUUAUUUAUGUUAAACUCGCGGAUUGGGUUUGUUUAUAUGGACAUCUGGCGGUGGCCUCGCCAUUAAUAUUUAUCAGCUGCUGCACCUUUCCCGGCUCUGCAGCUCGGUUCCCUUGCUCGAUGGCGUCGCAUAAAUCGCAGCAACUUUGGCCCGACACGCCCCUCGAACGCCCCGAUUUUCUCUGAACUCGCUUGGCUCACAAGUUCCAGGUACAAUCAAGUUUUUCGCUUUUAUUAUGGGGAGUAUAAUAUAUUUUAUACGGCUCUAUCUGCCGCCGUCUUCUUUGCUCCCUUUUCCAUCUUUCCUACCAAUUUAUGGCGGCCAUUUUGGAGAGGUGGUGUCUUUGAAAUUUUAGUUUAUUGCAAAGUCUCAUAAAUAUUUCAAGAGCAAGUUUCUUCGUCUUCAUCGCUCCCGCUCGAUAUAUAAACCUGGCAAAUUUAUAUUAGUCUGCGAUGAAGCAGGGCAUUUUAUGAGGGGUUGAAAGAGAAAUGUAUCAUGAGGUUCAUGGACUUUGAUGUGCCAGUCUGUCACCUGAGUCCCACUGCUCGGCGAAAAAGUUCUUUUGAGUGCUUUAUGUAUGUUCCAUAAACACGAUUGUUCACCGACUUGGCGGUGUGGCAUUUAUAGACCCAGUCAAUUACGGCGGAUUCAUUUUAUUUGAUUACGAGUUGACCCUGAUCCAUUAUUAUCGGUAUCAUAUUUGGAUUCCCUAGUGCAUUGUUCAAGCGCAAGGAAUCUGGAAUCUCGAAUUUAUGUACCCGCCCCUACAUAUCUGGGAAGCAUUUCCAAUUUGAUUAGAUUGAUCAGACUUAAUGAACCGGCGACCAUAUCGAUGGAGCAUAUCGAAUGGAUACGCCGUGCCCAAAACGAGUAACUGCGGCGAAUGAACCUUGAAUGGAAAGCGUAGCGAACUACAGGCAAUUAUUUUCCAUUUGCGUAAAUUAUACAUUUAAAUUAGGUGUUGGCAUAUUUCCUUUAAAGGAUUUUCCCUGCUGUCCGAGAGUUCAAAGUACAUGUGCGCACACAUACACGCCCGUGCCAUCUGAUGCCUGCCGUUUUGUGUUGUAAAUUUGCAAAAUAAACGAAAUUGACGUAGGAGCAACAAUAAACAAGUGAUGGCCGGCCAUCAUCAACCGGCAUCCAGCCGUCUGAAAUCCGAAGAAACUCCAAAAGGACCAGCAUCAUUGGGCUUCAUCUCUAUCUGAAAUCGCCAUUUAACCAGCAGGACGACAGACCUCCCAUGAUGCACGUCUCAUAUUGCACUGAUUUAUGGUCCGGUCAGUGGGCGGUGGGGUGCGUAUGUGGCAUGAGUUGGUUGCCAGUGGGGGGUGGGAAACCACCCAAAAGUGCAACACGAACGCUGCAACUGCACGUCGAACGACAUCGACACACCCACCCACAGGCGCUCCAGAGAGACGGGCAGCAUAUUUUCAACUGUCCACAAAUUGCAUUUAAAUAAAGCUUAAUUAAAUUUUAAGUCUA